UUACAGGUGUGAGCCACCGCAUCAGGCCUAGAUCAUAUUUUAAAAUAAGGAACUAUUAAAAAUAUGAAUGCCAAAUUUACUUGGAUUUUUCAAAGUAAAGCAUUAAAUUAACAAGAAAUUUGUUUCAAAAUAGGAAAUUCAGCUUUCUGAUCCACCAUCUGGGAUGGAACCACGACCAAAAUGCAGAUUUUCGUAAAAGUCCUUACAGAAAAAGCACCACUCUCAAGGCUGAACCCUUGGACACAAUAGAAAAUCCAAAGGCCAAGAUCCAGAAUAAAGAAGGAAUUUCUCCUGAUCAGCAGAGACUGAUCUUUGCUGGCAAGCAACUGAAAGAUGAACAUACUCUGUCUUAACUACACAUUCAAAAGGAGUCCGCUCUUCAUCUUGUGUUGGGACUUCAUAGAAGUAGUCAUACCACUCCCAAGAAGAACAAACGUAAUAGAAAAAGAUUAAGCUGGAUGUCCUGAGAUACGAUAAGGUAGAUGACAACAGCAAAAUGAGUGGCCUUCACUAGCAGUGUCCUUCAGAUGAAUGUGGUGCUGGAGUUCUUAUGGCCAGUCACAAACAUUUGACAGACAUUAUUGUAGCAAAUAUUGUCUGACUUACUGCUUCAACAAACCAGAAGACAAGGCUCGGUGCAGUGGCUCACUUGAGUCCAGGAGUUUGAGACCAGCCUGGGCAACAUAGCAAGAUCCCAUCUCUACAAAAAAUUAAAAAGUUGCUAGGCAUGGUGGAGCGUGUCUGUGGUCCGAGCUACUUGGAAGGCUCAGGUGGGAGGAUGGCUUGAGCCCAGGAGGUCGAGGCUACCGUAAGUCAUGAUCAAGCCACCACACCCCAGCCUGCGCACAGAGCAAGACUCUGUCUUCCCAAAAACGUUUUUAAAAACAGAAGACAAGCAAUUGUGUAUGAGUUAAUAAAAGACGUGAACAACAACAAAAAGCUAAAUUCAAUGAAUGUUAAUUACAUGUCUAAGGCAAACAACAAAUGGCAAGGUUAACAAUUACCCAAGAUAUAGUUUUGAGUUAAUAUUUAAUUACAAAGAAACUGGCCGCUGUUACAUCAAAAUCAACUUCGGACACCUUUCAAAGAUCUAACGAUUAAACAAAUGGUUUCCCUAGAAGUGCAAGAACCUCAUGGCCACUGGUUUUCUAUUUGGUGGCUGGCUCGCCUAUUUAGCAGCCCUCCUCCCAAAUGUCAAUAGAAAAACUUUGUGUUUCUAGUCCAAGAUGGGACUUCCUGGCUCCAAGUGCCUUGCAUUGUUUAUUUGCUUUAUCCUAAUGUAUGUUGUGCUGUCAGCAAUGAAAAUUGCUCAGCUGGAACAAAAACCAAGAGAAAUACAACACUUUAUUUGGCAAAAGGCAGAUCCUGCCAUCCAGUGCUGCAUUUAAAUGUGCAUACAAUGGAUCUUUCACUUCACAGUACAACCAGUGUUAUGACCACUUCACAGGAGAGGACUCAGUAGGGAAAAAAGGGACAGGGACACUGGUGAGCAUAAGAACAAGUCUGUGAAAUAGGAAAGAAAACAGGAGCAGGGAAGAACAUUUGUAUAUUUAUCUAACAUUCCAAGUGCCAAGCAUUCAAUCCAAAUUCACAGAUAAUACACCAAAUCACUAAACUAUCUGAUCAUCUCUAUAACUGUAAAAAAUAAACACAGCAAAAGAAGAGAAUGGCAUAAAAAUGGAUCACUGCAUGACCCAAUUUAAUUCUUAAGUAUAAUUUAAACGAAUACAUCCACCAAUCGCUGAAGGCAUUGGUUUCCAAAACCAUUUUUCCCGUCAGCUUCAGCAUUUUUGACAUAGCCAUACAGAGAGUUGUGUAUUUACUCAAUAUUUGUAUUUUAAUUGAUUCAUUAAAAAUAAAUCAUAAACAAUGGGAUGUCUGCGCCAUCCUGAGCACUGUCUGUGAAAUUCAAGGGCUGAUGUACACAGCUCGAUGCAGCAGAUGUUAAGAGCGUGGUCUGCCUGGUUUUAUUCCCCAGCUCACUAUUCACACUGGUGGUAUGACCCUGAACAAUUCACUUAGCCUUUCUGAGCCUUACUUCCUAAUAGUCAUAAGUGAGAAUAACAGUUCUUACUUCAUACGGUCAGGUUUAAAGAUUAAAUUCAUUACGUGCAAAAGCGCUUAGAGCAGUGCAUGGCACAAUAAUCACUCAUCAAAAUGUUACUAGUUAUCAUUAUUCUUUACAAUGCUUUUUAUAAUUUUAUUGAUAGUUUUGGUUGCUUUUUAAAAAUUCUUUUGUUACUAUUACAAGUACUAAAGCUUUUUAAUAGUCCAUACCCAUGCAACAUAAAAUCAACAAGUAUACACUUGGUACAACAUUGACUUAGGGAACAAUCCUUCCUCAUUAGGUAAAAAUAAAAUGUUUCACAGUACAGAGUGUGAACAGAGGUGCUACCACCUCAAUAAAGUAUUGCUUUUUAAUCACCAAAAUGUUUACCAUGCAAAUAGUCUCUUAACCCUAGGCAUGACCCCUAAAACUGUUAAAGUCAUUUGUGUAAAAUGCUUUAAAGAAUGUAGGACAAGUAUGUGAUUUACAGCUAGAAAAGGCUUUUUUCACAGUCUUGAUUUCAAGAGUAGCCAAAUGACUUUAACAUGUUUGUUCCCCCUUUUGUCACUGUCAUCAAAACUAUUUCAAAGGACAUUUAUAAAUAUGCACUAAUAGUUUCCAAAACUCUACCUUGCCUUAGAACCCCAAGUUCCUCUCCUUUCUGAAAUAAACCAUUACAACUAUAAGCAAUUUGGAGUUUAAAAGCUAGCAAAAUAAAAUCUCAUUCACCAUAGUGGUACGAAAAGAAGUUAUUGUCUUCCUAAACAUUUAUUUCCCAAUCUGUGAGUUUACUAUCUCUGCUCAACUGUGUUUGAGAAUGUCCAAUAUUAUUGUAAUCUUUCCCUAAUUAAAACACUAAUUUCUCUUCCUAAAGUUCCUAAAAGUCUUAAAAGUCUGCUAGCAUUUGUUAAUGAGUUUAUUUUUCAUUUACUUAAACCUUGAACCAGAAACGUUGGAGAGCCUUUAUUAUUCAAUCAAUGGUAAUUAAUGCAAUGAUUCUAUGACAGUAUUCAUACAUCAAAGAGACAAAAGGAAACACCAGCAACAUUGUAUUCUUAGGACCACACAAGCUCUUGGAGAGCUCCUGAGCCCGCACCAAGGCUGCAAGAUCAUUCUGCCUCAUCCUCUAUUUCUUCCCUGCUACCAGGGAUCCCCAAGAGCAGGGGUGCCCAACCACUAAUAGUGGUCUGUGGCCUGUUAGGAACCGGGCUGCACAGCAGGAGAUGAACAGUGGGCAAGCCAGCAUUACUGCCUGAGCUCCGCCUCCUGUCAGAUCAGCAGCCGCAUUAGAUUCCUAAUCAGCAGCGAACCCUAUCGUGAAGAGGGAUGUAGGCAUUCCUUAUGAGAAUCUAACUAAUGCCUGAUGAUCUGAGGGGAAACAGUUUCAUUCUGAAACAGUCUCCCUCACCCCCAGUCCGUGGAAAAAUUGUCUUCCACAAAACCAGUCCCUGGUGCCAAAACGGUUGGAACCACUGACCUAGAGCUCACACAUCUCAGACGCUAUCUUCACAACAUUCACCCAUUCUGGGAGCAGACAGAACUAGAAUAAUUAGAUGAAUUACAAAUAAAGUUUGGAAAUCUCAAAGUGGUGGCAACUGGGAAUCCAGGGUAUAAAUCAUCAUUUAAAACAAGUCUUAGAAAAAGAUCAGCCAUAAACUAAUCAAUUAUAUUAUAAUUUCAGGCACGUUUAAAUGGUAUUUUUAUCAUCUGAGUAUUCAUGUAAUACAUGUAAACAGGUAAUGAAUUCAUAUAACUUUUGGACUUGUCUAUAAACUGGUACUUGUAUGACUAAAUGGCUAUUUUUCAACAAUAGCCCUUAGUUGCAAUAGAUUACAUUUUUUCCUAAUUGAUUUAAAUAUUGUCUUGCUCAAAAAGGAUGCAAAGGAGUUGAUAUCACAACACAGCAAGAUAAAACUAAUGAGAAAAUAAGGCAAAGAUGAAAUAACGAUGUGAUAAAAUCCAAUAUAUCCUAUAAAAGUGACCCUUCCGUCUUUUUAAAUCGCUGAGGAACAGAAAUUCUUGCUGGCAGAAGUAGCUAUAAGGCCAC
Cercocebus atys (sooty mangabey) is the source of this 4094-nucleotide long non-coding RNA. RefSeq lists it as uncharacterized. NCBI's taxonomy places the organism in Eukaryota, Metazoa, Chordata, Mammalia, Primates, Cercopithecidae. The record is from RefSeq and is a predicted model, not a curated record. The transcript is spliced from 2 exons.